Oryctolagus cuniculus (rabbit) is the source of this 1609-nucleotide long non-coding RNA. The record is from Ensembl. Lineage: Eukaryota; Metazoa; Chordata; Mammalia; Lagomorpha; Leporidae.
GUCGCUAUGGCUAAUACACAGAAAGUAAUUUUGGCCGAAGCUAAGCCAACAGUUACAUAAAUCUGAAAAUCAGGCCAUAUUCUAGUGCUGUAUCCAGCUUAUAUGAGAAGCUAUAGAGUUGUUAGGUUUAGAUAUGGGAAGGAGCCAGAUUGUUCGAAGUCAGGAAAGAGCUUAGGAAAAGGCUAGAAUCCAGAAAGAGCACCAGGUGUGGACACUGCGGCACAGCAGUUAACACUGCUAGGAUGCUUGCAUCCAUAUUAGAGUGAAUGAAACUGAAUCCCACCUCUGCUUCAGAUCCAACUUUUUAUUACUGUGCACCUUGGAAGGGAGUGGGUAAUGACUCAAGUAAUUGAGCACCUGUCACCCACAUGGGAGACCUGGGUGGAGUUCUUAGUUCCUGGCUUCUCCCUGGCCUUGUCCCAGCUGUUGCAGCCAUUUGGAAAAUGAAUCCGAGAAUGAAAGGUCUCUCUCUUACUCUGCCUUUUAGAUAAAUAAACUUUAAUGAGACACCGUGGAGAACAGAUAAAUGGUCUUGAAGAAAUAUAUCGAAUCAUACUAACACAUGAACCUGUGUGCAAUGGGCAGUACAGAACAAAAACAGAUUCAUGAAGUGAACUAACCUGAAGCAACACUGUAGGAGUCUCAUCCAACAGAAGUACUGUCGGAGAAAUCUGAUAGUUAUAUGACAAGCAGGACUUUGAUUUGGCAUCUGACUAACUUCUGCAAUAAAAUGAAUUUGAAGAGGUCUAAAAACUGGUUUAGUGACCUUGCUUGGAAAGUUACAAACCACAACAGCACUGUAAGCCUUUCUCCAUUUCCUGUUAACUCUUCAGCCCUUGUUGUUCUUGUAUUUAUAGUACCGAGGAGCACAUCGGUGCAGGCCCAACGAAUGUUUUCAACCUACUAAAAAGCAUAUACCCUAAUCUAGUCACAAGAUAUGACUAAUCUUUGGAUGGAUGAGUUAACUAAUUCAUCACAAAAAGUUCCAAAUGUCAGCAAGCAGGGCUGAUUCUAUCCCAGAGAAGUUCAGUGCUUUAUUAACACCGUUUUCUUUCUUGGAUGAUCAUCCAUAGCUCUUGUGAUGUCAGUUUGAUGAUUCCAAUUUAGAAUAUAAAUUGAUGUGAAGUCACAGAUUAUACUGGUUUAGAAGUUACAAGAAACUAAGAUGUCAUCUGGAUGGUCUCAUUUUACAAAUGAAGAAGGCAGAUUGUAGAGAAGAACCAUCUUUCCCCGGAAGCUUCAGACUCAUAAAUAUGUACCAUGAUAUUUUUGACUUUCAGUUCAAUUAUUUCCCUGAUCCUGGUUCUUUACGUGCUAUUCUAUUUUAAUAAUGUCCCCCACUGUCAAUCUUCAAUGUGAAUAUGUUUUUAUGUGGUACUUACGGUUAUCAUUAAAACAAAGCCCAGAUCCAUAUGUGUCAUAUAUAUAUACAAAAUCAUAUAUAUGUACAUUAUGUUCUAGAUUCUAUAGGUUUCUAUAUUAUAGUUUUUAAAUUUAUUUUUAUUCCAUAAUUGGCUCAUAUUAUCAAAUAAGAUUGAAAGUUUCAUUUUCUAAAUAGGUAUAACAUUUUAAACAAAUACAGUGGUUCUAAGGAAAUGUGGUGUCUUUU